AACAUAAGAAUACACAUAACUUCAUAUAAUCCUUAAUGUCAUACACGAAAAUGGUGAACCACAAAUCAAUACAACAUUCUUGAGAAAACACAUAUACUAUUAAUAUCAAAAUUCAUAAGCAUUUUGAGCUUCCAUUGGAUUUCAGGACCUCAGAAUCACAUAUUACACAUUCAAGGUCUAAGAAGUGCCGGCAAAAGACCAAAUGUUAGCUCGAAACUAAGAAGGAAUAGCAAAAAUAGACCAGCAACACCAAAAUCAAAUCACAAGCUUCAAAUGCAAACCACUUUCAAACCCAGAUUAGAAUAGCCUUCAGAAUUCCAAAUUAAACCUCAAGAACUGUGGGAAUAUUUCAAUGAAACAAUGAAUUUUUUGUACUUCUUAGGCAUUUUUUUUUCUUUCUCUGAUUUUCUAUCACUUCAAAAUCUGCCUUGAAAAGCAAGAAUAAGAUGC
RNAcentral lists this long non-coding RNA (450 nucleotides) under Nicotiana benthamiana. RNAcentral describes it as "long non-coding RNA (NBEN_LNC008482)". Lineage: Eukaryota; Viridiplantae; Streptophyta; Magnoliopsida; Solanales; Solanaceae. The record is from RNAcentral.